AAAUGCGAUAAGUAAUGUGAAUUGCAGAAUUCAGUGAAUCAUCGAAUCUUUGAACGCACAUUGCGCCCGCCAGUAUUCUGGCGGGCAUGCCUGUCCGAGCGUCAUUUCAACCAUCAAGCCCCCGGUCUUGUGUUGGGGACCUGCGGCUGCCCGCAGGCCCUGAAAACCAGUGGCGGGCUCGCUGUCACACCGAGCGUAGUAGCAAUCACCUCGCUCAGGGCGUGCUGCGGGUUCCGGCCGUUAAACAGCCUUACAAAACCCAAGGUUGACCUCGGAUCAGGUAGGAAGACCCGCUGAACUUAAGC
Molecule: unclassified non-coding RNA, 305 nt
Filed under: plant metagenome
Description: partial contains 5.8S ribosomal RNA, internal transcribed spacer 2, and large subunit ribosomal RNA
Rfam family: 5.8S ribosomal RNA (bases 1-104)
Source: RNAcentral